RNAcentral lists this ribosomal RNA (1515 nucleotides) under Kluyvera cryocrescens. RNAcentral describes it as "16S ribosomal RNA". It matches the Rfam family "Bacterial small subunit ribosomal RNA". The record is from RNAcentral. Lineage: Bacteria; Pseudomonadati; Pseudomonadota; Gammaproteobacteria; Enterobacterales; Enterobacteriaceae.
UCUAGAUUAGAGUUUGAUCAUGGCUCAGAUUGAACGCUGGCGGCAGGCCUAACACAUGCAAGUCUAACGGUAGCACAGAGAGCUUGCUCUCGGGUGACGAGUGGCGGACGGGUGAGUAAUGUCUGGGAAACUGCCCGAUGGAGGGGGAUAACUACUGGAAACGGUAGCUAAUACCGCAUAACGUCUUCGGACCAAAGUGGGGGACCUUCGGGCCUCACACCACCGGAUGUGCCCAGAUGGGAUUAGCUAGUAGGUGGGGUAAUGGCUCACCUAGGCGACGAUCCCUAGCUGGUCUGAGAGGAUGACCAGCCACACUGGAACUGAGACACGGUCCAGACUCCUACGGGAGGCAGCAGUGGGGAAUAUUGCACAAUGGGCGCAAGCCUGAUGCAGCCAUGCCGCGUGUAUGAAGAAGGCCUUCGGGUUGUAAAGUACUUUCAGCGGGGAGGAAGGCGAUGGAGUUAAUAGCUUCAUCGAUUGACGUUACCCGCAGAAGAAGCACCGGCUAACUCCGUGCCAGCAGCCGCGGUAAUACGGAGGGUGCAAGCGUUAAUCGGAAUUACUGGGCGUAAAGCGCACGCAGGCGGUCUGUCAAGUCGGAUGUGAAAUCCCCGGGCUUAACCUGGGAACUGCAUUCGAAACUGGCAGGCUAGAGUCUUGUAGAGGGGGGUAGAAUUUCCAGGUGUAGCGGUGAAAUGCGUAGAGAUCUGGAGGAAUACCGGUGGCGAAGGCGGCCCCCUGGACAAAGACUGACGCUCAGGUGCGAAAGCGUGGGGAGCAAACAGGAUUAGAUACCCUGGUAGUCCACGCCGUAAACGAUGUCGACUUGGGAGGUUGUGCCCUUGAGGCGUGGCUUCCGGAGCUAACGCGUUAAGUCGACCGCCUGGGGGAGUACGGCCGCAAGGUUAAAACUCAAAUGAAUUGACGGGGGCCCGCACAAGCGGUGGAGCAUGUGGUUUAAUUCGAUGCAACGCGAAGAACCUUACCUACUCUUGACAUCCAGAGAACUUUCCAGAGAUGGAUUGGUGCCUUCGGGAACUCUGAGACAGGUGCUGCAUGGCUGUCGUCAGCUCGUGUUGUGAAAUGUUGGGUUAAGUACCGCAACGAGCGCAACCCUUAUCCUUUGUUGCCAGCGGUUAGGCCGGGAACUCAAAGGAGACUGCCAGUGAUAAACUGGAGGAAGGUGGGGAUGACGUCAAGUCAUCAUGGCCCUUACGAGUAGGGCUACACACGUGCUACAAUGGCGCAUACAAAGAGAAGCGACCUCGCGAGAGCAAGCGGACCUCAUAAAGUGCGUCGUAGUCCGGAUUGGAGUCUGCAACUCGACUCCAUGAAGUCGGAAUCGCUAGUAAUCGUAGAUCAGAAUGCUACGGUGAAUACGUUCCCGGGCCUUGUACACACCGCCCGUCACACCAUGGGAGUGGGUUGCAAAAGAAGUAGGUAGCUUAACCUUCGGGAGGGCGCUUACCACUUUGUGAUUCAUGACUGGGGUGAAGUCGUAACAAGGUAACCGUA